GGAGAAUCUAUAAUGCAGGCCUCAAGAGCAAGGUUAUUCAAGGAGUACAAAGAGGUUCAAAGAGAAAAGGUAGCAGAUCCAGAUAUUCAAUUGGUUUGUGACGAUUCUAAUAUUUUUAAAUGGACUGCCCUAAUCAAGGGACCGUCAGAGACUCCUUUUGAAGGUGGUGUCUUCCAGCUUGCCUUCUCCGUACCUGAGCAAUACCCUUUGCAACCUCCUCAAGUGCGGUUCU
RNAcentral lists this unclassified non-coding RNA (232 nucleotides) under Hevea brasiliensis (rubber tree). Lineage: Eukaryota; Viridiplantae; Streptophyta; Magnoliopsida; Malpighiales; Euphorbiaceae. The record is from RNAcentral.